UACGUAGGGUGCAAGCGUUGUCCGGAAUUAUUGGGCGUAAAGGGCUCGUAGGCGGUCUGUUGCGUCGGCUGUGAAAACCCGGGGCUCAACUCCGGGCCUGCAGCCGAUACGGGCAGACUAGAGUUCGGCAGGGGAGACUGGAAUUCCUGGUGUAGCGGUGAAAAUGCGCAGAUAUCAGGAGGAACACCGGUGGCGAAGGCGGGUCUCUGGGCCGAUACUGACGCUGAGGAGCGAAAGCGUGGGGGAGCGAACAGG
This 255-nucleotide ribosomal RNA is filed under the name uncultured bacterium. Its description in RNAcentral is "partial 16S ribosomal RNA". It matches the Rfam family "Bacterial small subunit ribosomal RNA", at positions 524 to 776 of the family's 1533-position model. The record is from RNAcentral.